GGUAAGUAGGCCUCUCCAUCCUGAUAGCGAGGGAGGCCUCAUCGGGUUUGACCCCGGCAUGCUUUGACACCUUUUUCACUGUUGGAAGAUGCUCUGACUUUAAAGUAGAAAGCAGACUUGACUGAAGCUGAUUGACACAGGUCAAGGGGACUUCAAGGAAGAAAGCCAGCCUUAGACUGACAUCAGAGAACCAAACUCCGGUGUCUAAGCUCAAGCUCCUGCUUCCUGACCUGCUUGAGUUCCAGUCCUGACCUCCUUUGGUGAUGAACAGCAAUGUGGAAGUUUCCUGCCUUGACUUCUCUACAAUAAUGGACUGUAACCGAGAAUGGAAAGCCAAAGAAAGUCCUUCCUCUUCUAAGCUGCUCUUGGUCGUGGUGUUUCAUCACAACAACAGAAGAGAACCUAGGACAAUCACCUUACCUGUGAGAGCGAGGAGCCUAUGCAGUAAUACAAGUAAUUGGGAAGACACUGGCUCAGAGCCUGUCUCUGGUGACCACUGAAUUGUCCAGCACCUGAGGUCCCUGGAGCCCACGGACUGAGCCCAUCUGGGCUAAAAGAGGUCCCAUACAUCCUUCUCAAAGGCCUAUAUAAAUGCCAAGCAGAGUUAUAGCAGGAGGUUAGAAUCCUGAGAACUGUUUGGAAUAAGGAAUCCAAAUAUUGUCUUCCAGCUUCACCUUGUCACGACAGUCCUCGCCAGGGACAGCUGAGCAUCUACAUCUCCAUUUAUGCCGUGUGCACGCAGUACCAACAGAGGUCAGAGGAGGGUGUCGGAUCCCCUGGAACUGGAGUCACAGAUUCUUCCUUGCGUGGAUGAAACAGUCCCAACGAACACUUUAAAAAGACAAAUGUUCCCGACAGCACUGGUUGAAUUCAAAACUCGGCAGAUCCAUGUUCUUAUCCUUAGACAAGAGAGGGGCCAUAACAAGAUGGAAUGACGGAACAGACGUGAGAGAUGAUGUCCACCCAGAGGGUCUGCACUUCUCGGAGCCAGAAGGUGGAGAAGAGUAGGGAUGGAGGAAGUUCGAAGUUUUAGGAGUCUGCUCUUGGGUCCCUAGGCAUGAGGACAAGCUUUUCCUGUACUCAAUGCUCAUCUCUCAGUUGUGCCCACAUUGGUACACAUUACUUGCUUUCAACUGCUGCUGCUGCUGUUUCCUAAUUCAAUAAAGAUAUGGCUGGCUCA
Molecule: long non-coding RNA, 1180 nt
Filed under: Mus musculus (house mouse)
Lineage: Eukaryota; Metazoa; Chordata; Mammalia; Rodentia; Muridae
Description: predicted gene 29154
Source: RNAcentral